UACGUAGGCAGCAAGCGUUGUUCGGAGUUACUGGGCGUAAAGGGUGUGUAGGCGGUUCUCUAAGUCUGGAGUGAAAUCUCCCGGCUCAACUGGGAGGGUGCGCCGGAAACUGGAGAGCUAGAGUACUGGAUGGGAGAGUGGAAUUCCUGGUGUAGCGGUGAAAUGCGUAGAUAUCAGGAGGAACACCUGUGGUGUAGACGGCUCUCUGGACAGUAACUGACGCUGAGACACGAAAGCGUGGGUAGCAAACAGG
RNAcentral lists this ribosomal RNA (253 nucleotides) under uncultured bacterium. Its description in RNAcentral is "partial 16S ribosomal RNA". It matches the Rfam family "Bacterial small subunit ribosomal RNA", at positions 524 to 776 of the family's 1533-position model. The record is from RNAcentral.